GUGCUCGCUUCAGCAGUACGUACGUAUACUAGAAUUGGAAUGAUACAGAGAAGAUUAGCGUAGCCCCUGCACAAGGAUGACAUGCAAAUUCAUGAAGUGUUUCCUAUUUUU
Molecule: small nuclear RNA, 111 nt
Filed under: Ursus americanus (American black bear)
Lineage: Eukaryota; Metazoa; Chordata; Mammalia; Carnivora; Ursidae
Source: RNAcentral